This 497-nucleotide ribosomal RNA is filed under the name uncultured bacterium. Its description in RNAcentral is "partial 16S ribosomal RNA". It matches the Rfam family "Bacterial small subunit ribosomal RNA", at positions 28 to 507 of the family's 1533-position model. The record is from RNAcentral.
GACGAACGCUGGCGGCGUGCCUAAUACAUGCAAGUAGAACGCUGAAACUUGGUGCUUGCACCGAGCGGAUGAGUUGCGAACGGGUGAGUAACGCGUAGGUAACCUGCCUGGUAGCGGGGGAUAACUAUUGGAAACGAUAGCUAAUACCGCAUAAGAGUAGAUUUUGCAUGACGUUUGCGUAAAAGGUGCAAUUGCACGACUACCAGAUGGACCUGCGUUGUAUUGGCUAGUUGGUGGGGUAACGGCUCACCAAGGCGACGAUACAUAGCCGACAUGAGAGGGUGGUCGGCCGCACUGGGACGGUGACCCGGCCCAGUGUCCUACGGGUAGCAGCAGUAGGGAAUCUUCGGCAAGCGGCGGAAGUCUGACCGAGCAACGCCGCGUGAGUGAAGAAGGUUGUCGGAUCGUAAAGCUCGGUUGUAAGAGAAGAACGAGUGUGAGAGUGGAAAGUUCACACUGUGACGGUAUCUUACCAGAAAGCGACGGCUAACUACGUG